GUGCUCACUUCAGCAGCACGUGUACGAAAAUUGGAACGAUACAGAGAAGAUUAGCAUGGCCCCUCGCAAGGACACGCAAAUUCAUGAAGCCUUCCAUAUUGAA
Molecule: small nuclear RNA, 103 nt
Organism: Callorhinus ursinus (northern fur seal)
Lineage: Eukaryota; Metazoa; Chordata; Mammalia; Carnivora; Otariidae
Source: RefSeq, a predicted model, not a curated record